UGCGGAGGGUGCAAGCGUUGCUCGGCAUUAUUGGGCGUAAAGCGUACGCAGGCUGCGCGUCAAGUCGAGUGUGAAAUCCCGGAGCUCAACUCCGGACGUGCAUUCGAUACUGUCGUGCUUGAGUGCGGGAGAGGGAAGCGGAAUUCCUGGUGUAGAGGUGAAAUUCGUAGAUAUCAGGAGGAACACCGGUGGCGAAAGCGGCUUCCUGGCCCGACACUGACGCUCAUGUACGAAAGCGUGGGGAGCAAACAGG
This 253-nucleotide ribosomal RNA is filed under the name uncultured bacterium. Its description in RNAcentral is "partial 16S ribosomal RNA". It matches the Rfam family "Bacterial small subunit ribosomal RNA", at positions 524 to 776 of the family's 1533-position model. The record is from RNAcentral.